CCUGUCUUGGUGCUUUUGUGCAGUGUGCAAACUGCACAACAGUACUUGGAGGCCCUGCGGGGGCCUUGUUUGUUUCCCUCUGCCUGGGGUAAGGCUGUGUCCUGCAUCUCAGUUCUGAGCCAAUCAAUCUUUCCUUUAGAGACCUGCUGGGGAAAAUUCUAGGUUUGAUCCAAGUGUGGCAACAGAAUCUCUGUAGGGUGGAAAUGCAAUGCAUUUGGCCAGGUCUGGUGAAGUGUUUGGUUCAGUUUGCUUUUUGGUUUAUCUUUAGCUUCCAAGACAGUCUCAUCUGUGUCGUGUUCCCUAAGAGAGACCCUCCAGAUGCUGGGAAGGCAGAAGGGCCAUUUAGAGGUAGUGGGUGCAGCUGACAGGACCCUCAAUGGGGAGGAGGCAGAGGAGGCCUUGGUGGGCCUGUGGCGGGGGGGCCUGGGGCAGGGGAGGCGGGGGCAGGCACUGCCCUCCGUGGUUGGCAGCCGGCCAGGCCCUGGGGCUGCAGGCUUAGGUCCAGAGUUCAGAGGCAGCACUACAGGUGACAUACACGUAGUUUCGCCAAAAGCCUGGGGCUUGCAUGGCUGCUCUGCGGCUCUGCUCAUCAGCUUGUGAAAGGCUUCUCACGUGGCUUGCGAGCUCUUGAUGGUCGUCUCCCAGCCUCCAGCAGGCGGGGACCGCCUGGCAGCAAGAAGAGUGUGGCCUUCCGUCAGAACCAGAAAACCGCCAAUUAGGGAGAGGCCUCCCCUUGGCUCUCUCUCCCUGCAUCUCUAAGAACCUCCAGGUGACCUUCUGGCCCAGCUGGCCCAGCUGCAUCCAUGGAGAAGAGGUGUGGGAAUCUGCAGCCUUCACGUCACACUGGAAUUCAACACAUGCCGCUUUUCCCAGGAAAAGUCAUAUUUGGUUUCGGUUCAUAAUAUAUUGAGUUCGUGUAAUGGGAACACCCAUGCUCUUUGGUGGCCAGAGUCAGAGGCUUGGAAGUACAUUUUGAGGAGCGGCCAGAGGGAGGAGGAGGGGACCAGGGGAACCCCAUCUUUUUUUUUUUUUUUCUGCUUUUUAGGGCUGCAUCUGCAGCAUUUGGAAGUUCCCAGGCCAGGGGUAGAAUUCAGGCUGCAGCUGCUGGCCUGCACCACAGCCACAGCAAUGUAGGAUCUGAGCCACGUCUGUGACCUACAUCACAGCUCAUGGCAAUGCCAGAUCCUUAACCCACUGAGCGGUGCCAGAGAUCAAACCCACAACCUCACGGAUCCUAGUCAGGUUCGUCAACUACUGAGCCAUGAAGGGAACUCCUAAGAACCCCAUCUUGACUGUAGUAACAGACACAGAAAUACUCUAGAGUGGGCUGGCUACACUUACUAGGAAAUAAGUGGCCAUAAAUCAUCAUUAGUGUGACAAAGGACAGAGGCUCAUGUCACUGUGGCUGGUAGGUCAGGAGAAGACAGAACAAUAAGGUCCUUCUCUGGGCCCAGGCCCAGAAGUGGGUCCCCUGGGAGAACAUGUGUGCCAGAAGGAAGGACUGGUCUGGGCAUUCCGGGUGGCCACCAGACAUGGAACUUACCUGUGGCGGGAGAGAGAGACGCUCCUACCUGUGGCCUGGAGGCUGGACACGCCUUCCAGCUCAGAUGCGGGUGCUGGGCCAUCCUCAAUCCCAGGGCUCCCGUCCUGGUCCCAGCUGGACCCAGGAGAGCUACCUGAGGAGUCUUUCUUCCAGCUUUCUCAGCCUGUGAAUGUGUCUCAGUCCCUCUGGGAAAGCAGGCUCUAUGCCAGGUACUGGGAACAGAGCAGGAAACAAAGCAAAUGCCAGGAGCAGACCCUAAACAAGAGUGAUGCAUAUUAAGAAGAGGUAGAGGGGAGUUCCCAUUGUGGCGCAGUGGUUAACAAACCCGACUAGGGACCAUGAGGUUGCGGGUUUGAUCCCUGGCCUUGCUCAGUGGGUUAAGGAUCCAGCGUGGCUGUAAGUUGUGGUGUAGGUCACAGACGUGGCUCAGAUCCUGUGUGGCUGUGGCUGUGGUGUAGCCCGGUGGCUACAGCUCCGGUUAGACCCCUAGCCUGGGAACCUCCAUAUGCUGCUGGUGCAGCCCUAAAAAGACAAAAAAAAAAAAAGAAGAGGUAGAGGCUGUUGGGGAUCAAGAGAGCCUCUCUGAAGACAGUAAACAGAAAUCGGAAAAAGCAGAAGAGGAGGGUAGGGUCAGGGAGGGUCAACGAGGGUCAGGGCGGGUCAGGGAGGGUCACAGAGAAGCAGGGCAGCAGUGGCAUGAGCCGGCCAGGGCCCAGCCCAAAAGCGUCUGGAGAGGGAGGUGUUUUUUUUUUUUUUUUUUUUUUUUUUUUGUCUUUUGUCUUUUUUGUUGUUGUUUUGUUGUUGUUGUUGUUGUUGUUGCUAUUUCUUGGGCCCCUCCUGCGGCAUAUGGAGGUUCCCAGGCUAGGGGUCCAAUCGGAGCUGUAGCCACCGGCCUACGCCAGAGCCACAGCAAUGCGGGAUCCGAGCCGCGUCUGCAACCUACACCACAGCUCACGGCAACGCCGGAUCGUUAACCCACUGAGCAAGGGCAGGGACCGAACCCGCAACCUCAUGGUUCCUAGUCGGAUUCGUUAACCACUGCGCCACGACGGGAACUCCGGGAGGCGUGUUUUAAAAGGAGUAAAUCAACUAUCCUUCAAUAAAACUUUAAAAAAUGGAAAAAAAAAAAAAAAA
This 2677-nucleotide long non-coding RNA is filed under the name Sus scrofa (pig). Its description in RNAcentral is "lncRNA (ENSSSCG00065023236.1)". The record is from RNAcentral. Lineage: Eukaryota; Metazoa; Chordata; Mammalia; Artiodactyla; Suidae.